UAGGGAAUCUUCCACAAUGGACGAAAGUCUGAUGGAGCAACGCCGCGUGAGCGAAGAAGGUCUUCGGAUCGUAAAGCUCUGUUGUAAGGGAAGAACAAGUAUCAUUUAACUGAUGGUACCUUGACGGUACCUUACGAGAAAGCCACGGCUAACUACGUGCCAGCAGCCGCGGUAAUACGUAGGUGGCAAGCGUUGUCCGGAAUUAUUGGGCGUAAAGCGCGCGCAGGCGGUCCUUUAAGUCUGAUGUGAAAGCCCACGGCUCAACCGUGGAGGGUCAUUGGAAACUGGAGGACUUGAGUGCAGAAGAGGAAAGCGGAAUUCCACGUGUAGCGGUGAAAUGCGUAGAGAUGUGGAGGAACACCAGUGGCGAAGGCGGCUUUCUGGUCUGUAACUGACGCUGAGGCGCGAAAGCGUGGGGAGCAAACAG
RNAcentral lists this ribosomal RNA (427 nucleotides) under uncultured bacterium. RNAcentral describes it as "bacterial SSU rRNA". It matches the Rfam family "Bacterial small subunit ribosomal RNA", at positions 355 to 775 of the family's 1533-position model. The record is from RNAcentral.